RNAcentral lists this ribosomal RNA (253 nucleotides) under uncultured bacterium. RNAcentral describes it as "partial 16S ribosomal RNA". It matches the Rfam family "Bacterial small subunit ribosomal RNA", at positions 524 to 776 of the family's 1533-position model. The record is from RNAcentral.
GACGGAAGGUGCAAGCGUUGCUCGGAAUCACUGGGCGUAAAGGGUGCGUAGGCGGCCGUGCAAGUCUGGCGUGAAAGCCCCGGGCUCAGCCCGGGAAGUGCGCUCGAAACUGCGCGGCUCGAGUGCCGGAGGGGAGAGUGGAAUUCCUGGUGUAGCGGUGAAAUGCGUAGAUAUCAGGAGGAACACCUGUGGCGAAAGCGGCUCACUGGACCAUAACUGACGCUGAUGCACGAAAGCUAGGGGAGCAAACAGG